RNAcentral lists this unclassified non-coding RNA (284 nucleotides) under plant metagenome. RNAcentral's name for it is "partial contains small subunit ribosomal RNA, internal transcribed spacer 1, and 5.8S ribosomal RNA". The stretch from base 1 to 53 matches the Rfam family "Eukaryotic small subunit ribosomal RNA", at positions 1778 to 1831 of the family's 1831-position model. The record is from RNAcentral.
GGAAGUAAAAGUUUAACAAGGUUUCCGUAGGUGAACCUGCGGAAGGAUCAUUAUUGUAUAACCGAGGUGCGAGGGCUGUCGCUGACCCGAAAGGUCGUGCACGCCCGAGUGCCCUCACACACAUCCAUCUCACCCCUAUGUGCACCACCGCGUGGGUCCCCCUUUGGCUUGUUCGGAGGGGGGCUUACGUUUUCACACAAACUUUGUAUGCAGUGUAGAAUGUAUUUUUUGUUUUUGCGAUCACGCAAUCAAUACAACUUUCAACAACGGAUCUCUUGGCUCUC